RNAcentral lists this transfer RNA (59 nucleotides) under Nematostella vectensis (starlet sea anemone). It matches the Rfam family "tRNA", at positions 7 to 64 of the family's 71-position model. From Rfam's summary of the family: Transfer RNA (tRNA) molecules are approximately 80 nucleotides in length. Their secondary structure includes four short double-helical elements and three loops (D, anti-codon, and T loops). Lineage: Eukaryota; Metazoa; Cnidaria; Anthozoa; Actiniaria; Edwardsiidae. The record is from Rfam by way of RNAcentral.
GUGGCGCAAUGGUAGCGCGUCUGACUUCAGAUCAGAAGGUUGCGUGUUCAAAUCAUUUC